CCUACGGGAGGCAGCAGUAGGGAAUAUUGGACAAUGGGGGAAACCCUGAUCCAGCAAUGCAGCGUGAGUGACGAAGGCCUUAGGGUUGUAAAACUCUUUCAUCGGUGAGGAUAAUGACAGUAGCCGAAGAAGAAGGACCGGCUAAUUCCGUGCCAGCAGCCGCGGUAAUAC
This 171-nucleotide ribosomal RNA is filed under the name uncultured Alphaproteobacteria bacterium. RNAcentral describes it as "16S ribosomal RNA". It matches the Rfam family "Bacterial small subunit ribosomal RNA", at positions 338 to 526 of the family's 1533-position model. The record is from RNAcentral. Lineage: Bacteria; Pseudomonadati; Pseudomonadota; Alphaproteobacteria.